GACGAACGCUGGCGGCGUGCUUAACACAUGCAAGUCGAACGGAAAGGCCCUGCUUUUGUGGGGUGCUCGAGUGGCGAACGGGUGAGUAACACGUGAGUAACCUGCCCUUGACUUUGGGAUAACUUCAGGAAACUGGGGCUAAUACCGGAUAGGAGCUCCUGCUGCAUGGUGGGGGUUGGAAAGUUUCGGCGGUUGGGGAUGGACUCGCGGCUUAUCAGCUUGUUGGUGGGGUAGUUGCUUACCAAGGUUUUGACGGGUAGCCGGCCUGAGAGGGUGACCGGCCACCUUGGGCCUGAGAUACGGCCCAGACUCCUACGGGCGGCAGCAGUGGGGAAUAUUGCACAAUGGGCGGAAGCCUGAUGCAGCAACGCCGCGUGCGGGAUGACGGCCUUCGGGUUGUAAACCGCUUUCGCCUGUGACGAAGCGUGAGUGACGGUAAUGGGUAAAGAAGCACCGGCUAACUACGUG
This 468-nucleotide ribosomal RNA is filed under the name uncultured bacterium. Its description in RNAcentral is "partial 16S ribosomal RNA". It matches the Rfam family "Bacterial small subunit ribosomal RNA", at positions 28 to 507 of the family's 1533-position model. The record is from RNAcentral.